CCCUCGGUGCCGGCAGCAGCCUCCUGUGGCUCCUAAGGAUUCAUGCUCCGCUGGCCCAUCUGUGCGUGCGCUGCCGCUGCUGCCGCCGCCUCCUCGCCCAUCCUUCAGGAGCUCCCUCCAGGGCGCAGGCUGUCGCUCAGGCUGUUGCUCCCACACGCGCAGAGGCGCCUCUGCCGCCGGCUCCCCGCCCCUCCCAAGCUGCCGCCGGGGAACGCGACGGCCCCGCAACCGCGGCCCUCUCCGCAGGGAGAGGAUGCUGGGCCGGCCCGGGACGCCGCUCUGCUGUUGCCACCGAGGGUGGGGGCGCCGGCUCAGGCGGGCUCCUGGCCCCCCAUGGGCAGCGCCGUUGCGGCACCGCCGCGCUCCACACCCUGCGGCGCUCGGUCCCGCUUGCGGGGCCGCUGAGGCACUAAGCGAUGGCUCCGGAGGACUGCGGAGGGAUUCCUGUUCGCCACAUGGGCUGCUCCCGCGGUUGUCGGAACAAGGUGUUACGGGAUCAUCCUGACGCCGUUCCAAGGGUAAAAGACAACAGCAGCCUCUCUGGGGGUGACAUUUCCUUGUCUGACCUCGUCACUACCCCUGCACAGAGCCACCAUUAUGAAAUAAUAAUCGCUUAACCUUUACUAGGAGUUCCUGUUGCUGCAUCUGGCUGAGGUCGGCUUAUCUUUGCUUUCUACUUUAGUGAUGGUAAUGAGAUUUUAUGAGUUCUCAAAAGGUUUUUAUGGGGCUCUCUAAUGCACACAUCCACCUCCACUGUUUUGUGCAGUACACCACCAGUUGUCUAGCUGUGUGAGUUUCUCACAUCUCAUUCUAAUCUACUCCUUCAGUCCAUUCCUUUAAGGGAGGGCUUCUUUUCUCCAGAGGGGAGGAAGAAGAGGUCUCUGAAUAGAAAAGAAUUCAGACAGUAACAUGGAGAUGGGAAAAUACUACAUUACUGUAGUCCAGUGCACCUCAAGCAGUUCCUUCCCAGGAGGCUGUUGUAGGGGAAUUAAGCAGAUGACUUUUAGAUGCAGAAAACAGGUUGUAAAGAAACUGCAUGGCACAGCUGCCACAUGUAACCCCAAAUUGGGCUGCCACAUCUGCUACACCCCUUCCCAUGUCUUCCAAAUGUUAUGACAAGUUCACAUCCCCCUGGACAUGGGCACAGAACUUGGUCCUGACAGUCGUUUGCUCCGUGUCCCUGGGAUGGUGUUUAAGGAGAACGCUUUUCACAUCUGAACACAUGCAUACAGAUCCUUUCAUCCAUCAGUGAACACCAGGAGAGGAACAAGCGCAGGAGCAGCAUCUUCAGAAAGUGCCAGGUACUUGAAGUUCUUUCAGCUAAUGGAAACCACAAGCUCUGUGCAAUGAACAAGACCUGGCCAAUGAACAACGGUAGCACAGCACAGCUCAGAAGCUUUUACAUGGUGCAGCUUCUUCUAUAUUCUGGUCUGGUAGAUGACAAGGUCUGAGUUUCUCAAGCCACAGAUGUGGCAUAUGUUUCCCUUGCUGUAGUUUCAGAAGGCCUAAAAGAUUUGCCAGGGAGGCUGAAAUUUUAAAGUCUCUUCCUCUACUUCAUGCAUUCAGAAGAUCUGAGCUAGCAAGUAUUUAUUUGACUCUAUGUACUGUUGCAGCUGAGCACUGUAGACACUGGUUUCAUGAGCACUUCAAAUGCAAACAGGACCACUAGCCAUCCCUAUAAUACUGUACUCAUGAAUACAAAGGAUGGUCCUAAACAAAAACACAGACUGAACCAAAGCAAAUAUACCACAGGGUAUAGGGUGUACGUUAAAAAUAACAUCAUUUGAAUGCAUUUGUGCAUUUUCACACAGAUUUGAACAGGGAUGGGAGACUUAUUAUGAUCACUUGUACAACACUGAUUUUAAAUCCUGCUGCUCAAAAAGCAACAAACACAUACACUGAGAGGUCUUGUUUAUAAAUGUCACACUCUAUAUCCAGAGAAAAGACCUUUCUGUUACCUGCGUAACUGUUAUCUGUUGCUGUUACCUCUAUAAACAAAACUCCUCUUGUUUAUAUAAACAGGUCUCCGUUGUAUAAAUAUUUAUGAUUAAACUCACAUACUGAGGUAAACUCCUUGAUAUCAACUGCUGAGACUUACAUAACCAGUGAAAAGCUUGCUAAACUGGAAUGAUCUGCUAAAGACAAAGCAUAUGGAAGUCAGGGAAUUUACCACAGGAGAGAAGGAGGAAGAUAUCAGGAGAUAUUCUGAAGACAGCAGCAGUAAGCACUGUUAAAACACA
Long non-coding RNA from Pogoniulus pusillus (Red-fronted tinkerbird), 2240 nucleotides. RefSeq lists it as uncharacterized. The record is from RefSeq and is a predicted model, not a curated record. NCBI's taxonomy places the organism in Eukaryota, Metazoa, Chordata, Aves, Piciformes, Lybiidae. The transcript has 3 exons.